RNAcentral lists this small RNA (373 nucleotides) under Pongo abelii (Sumatran orangutan). RNAcentral's name for it is "processed transcript". The record is from RNAcentral. Lineage: Eukaryota; Metazoa; Chordata; Mammalia; Primates; Hominidae.
GAAAGCAGGAUGCACGAGGUGGCGGCCCCGCAGCCCUUGAGUGGGGCCUCAUUCCUGGAGAUGCAGCAAAGAGUUUGCUGGUUCGGGUUUGUGGAGGGAAAGUCAGUCUGAAUGUAGACGGAACUGUAGGUCGCCUGGUCGGCGCUCUGGAUGCAGUGUUGGAUUCCAAUGCACGGGUUGCUCCAUUUCGAAUUCUGCUUCAAGUUCCCGGCUCCCAGGUUUAUUCUCCCAUAGCAUGUGGUGAGUUACUGAAUGGAUCAGACGUUUACUGGGCCAUAGCCACUGGUGCAACAUUAGAGGAAAUCAACCAGCACUGGGACUGGCUGGAACAAAAUCUCCUCCACACCUUGUCCGUCUUUGAUAAUAAAGAUGA